RNAcentral lists this ribosomal RNA (806 nucleotides) under uncultured bacterium. RNAcentral's name for it is "bacterial SSU rRNA". It matches the Rfam family "Bacterial small subunit ribosomal RNA", at positions 8 to 796 of the family's 1533-position model. The record is from RNAcentral.
AGAGUUUGAUCAUGGCUCAGAACGAACGUUGGCGGCGUGGAUGAGGCAUGCAAGUCGCACGUGAAAGUCGCAAGACGAGUAAAGUGGCGGACGGGCGAGUAAGACGUAAUCAAGCUGCCCUUGAGACGGGGAUAACCUCGGGAAACCGAGGCUAAUACCCGAUGGUCCCGCUGGGUCGCAUGGCCUGGCGAGUAAAUGGUGGGGUCCUUCGGGACCUGCUGCUCUUGGAGGUGAUUGCGGCCCAUCAGCUAGUUGGCGGGGUAACGGCCCACCAAGGCGAUGACGGGUAGCCGGCCUUAGAGGGUGGUCGGCCGCACUGGGACUGAGACACUGCCCAGACUCCUACGGGAGGCUGCAGUCGAGAAUCUUCCGCAAUGGGCGCAAGCCUGACGGAGCGACGCCGCGUGGAGGACGAAGGCCUUAGGGUUGUAAACUCCUGUCACGGAUUAAGAAUGUCAUGUCAUGAACAGUGGUAUGAUUGACGUAAGUCCGAGAGGAAGCACUGGCUAACUCUGUGCCAGCAGCCGCGGUAAUACAGAGAGUGCAAACGUUGUUCGGAAUUACUGGGCUUAAAGCGCACGUAGGCGGCGCCGCAAGUGUGGGGUGAAAGCCCACGGCUUACCCGUGGAAUUGCCUGGCAGACUGCGGUGCUAGAGUGUGGUAGGGGAGAGCGGAACUCCUGGUGGAGCGGUGAAAUGCGUAGAUAUCAGGAGGAACACCGGUGGCGAAGGCGGCUCUCUGGUCCACAACUGACGCUGAGGUGCGAAAGCUAGGGGAGCAAACGGGAUUAGAUACCCUAGUAGUCC